RNAcentral lists this ribosomal RNA (296 nucleotides) under uncultured bacterium. RNAcentral describes it as "partial 16S ribosomal RNA". The record is from RNAcentral.
GGACUACUGGGGUAUCUAAUCCUUAUCGCUCCCCACGCUUUCGUCCUAGCAGUGUCAGGUAGCACCCAGAAGCCUGCCUACGCUAUUGGUGUUCCAAACGAUAUCAACGCAUUUCACUACUACACCGUUUGUUCCAGCUUCCUCUUUGCUCCUCUAGUUUAGAAGUUUCAAAAGACAGAUUUCGAGUUAAGCUCGAAGAUUUCACUUCUGACUUUCUAAACCACCUAUCGGUACGCUUUACGCCCAAUGAUUCCGGAUAACGCUUGAGGUCUCUGUAUUACCGCGGCGGCUGGCAC